Molecule: ribosomal RNA, 484 nt
Filed under: uncultured bacterium
Lineage: Bacteria
Description: partial 16S ribosomal RNA
Rfam family: Bacterial small subunit ribosomal RNA
Source: RNAcentral
AUUGAACGCUGGCGGCAGGCCUAACACAUGCAAGUCGAGCGGAUGAAGGGAGCUUGCUCCUGGAUUCAGCGGCGGACGGGUGAGUAAUGCCUAGGAAUCUGCCUGGUAGUGGGGGAUAACGUCCGGAAACGGGCGCUAAUACCGCAUACGUCCUGAGGGAGAAAGUGGGGGGUCUUCGGACCUCACGCUAUCAGAUGAGCCUAGGUCGGAUUAGCUAGUUGGUGGGGUAAAGGCCUACCAAGGCGACGAUCCGUAACUGGUCUGAGAGGAUGAUCAGUCACACUGGAACUGAGACACGGUCCAGACUCCUACGGGAGGCAGCAGUGGGGAAUAUUGGACAAUGGGCGAAAGCCUGAUCCAGCCAUGCCGCGUGUGUGAAGAAGGUCUUCGGAUUGUAAAGCACUUUAAGUUGGGAGGAAGGGCAGUAAGUUAAUACCUUGCUGUUUUGACGUUACCAAAAGAAUAAGCACCGGCUAACUUCGUG